GAAUUGCUAGUAAUGGCAGGUCAGCAUACUGCCGUGAAUACGUUCCCGGGCCUUGUACACACCGCCCGUCACACCAUGAGAGUUGGGGAUACCCGAAGCCUGUGAGCUAACUUUUAGAGGCAGCAGUCGAAGGUAGAAUCAAUGAUUGGGGUGAAGUCGUAACAAGGUAUC
Molecule: ribosomal RNA, 171 nt
Filed under: uncultured bacterium
Lineage: Bacteria
Description: partial 16S ribosomal RNA
Rfam family: Bacterial small subunit ribosomal RNA
Source: RNAcentral